RNAcentral lists this ribosomal RNA (484 nucleotides) under Escherichia coli. RNAcentral's name for it is "partial 23S ribosomal RNA". It matches the Rfam family "Bacterial large subunit ribosomal RNA", at positions 165 to 688 of the family's 2925-position model. Lineage: Bacteria; Pseudomonadati; Pseudomonadota; Gammaproteobacteria; Enterobacterales; Enterobacteriaceae. The record is from RNAcentral.
CAUAGGUUAAUGAGGCGAACCGGGGGAACUGAAACAUCUAAGUACCCCGAGGAAAAGAAAUCAACCGAGAUUCCCCCAGUAGCGGCGAGCGAACGGGGAGGAGCCCAGAGCCUGAAUCAGUGUGUGUGUUAGUGGAAGCGUCUGGAAAGGCGCGCGAUACAGGGUGACAGCCCCGUACACAAAAAUGCACAUGCUGUGAGCUCGAUGAGUAGGGCGGGACACGUGGUAUCCUGUCUGAAUAUGGGGGGACCAUCCUCCAAGGCUAAAUACUCCUGACUGACCGAUAGUGAACCAGUACCGUGAGGGAAAGGCGAAAAGAACCCCGGCGAGGGGAGUGAAAAAGAACCUGAAACCGUGUACGUACAAGCAGUGGGAGCACAGAGCAAUCUGUGUGACUGCGUACCUUUUGUAUAAUGGGUCAGCGACUUAUAUUCUGUAGCAAGGUUAACCGAAUAGGGGAGCCGAAGGGAAACCGAGUCUUAAC